UACGAAGGGGGCUAGCGUUGCUCGGAAUUACUGGGCGUAAAGCGCACGUAGGCGGCUUUCUAAGUCGGGGGUGAAAUCCUGGAGCUCAACUCCAGAACUGCCUUCGAUACUGGAAAGCUCGAGUCCGGGAGAGGUGAGUGGAACUGCGAGUGUAGAGGUGAAAUUCGUAGAUAUUCGCAAGAACACCAGUGGCGAAGGCGGCUCACUGGCUCGGUACUGACGCUGAGGUGCGAAAGCGUGGGGAGCAAACAGG
RNAcentral lists this ribosomal RNA (253 nucleotides) under uncultured bacterium. RNAcentral's name for it is "partial 16S ribosomal RNA". It matches the Rfam family "Bacterial small subunit ribosomal RNA", at positions 524 to 776 of the family's 1533-position model. The record is from RNAcentral.